UGGGGAAUAUUGCACAAUGGGCGCAAGCCUGAUGCAGCCAUGCCGCGUGUGUGAAGAAGGCCUUCGGGUUGUAAAGCACUUUCAGCGGGGAGGAAGGCGGUGAGGUUAAUAACCUCACCGAUUGACGUUACCCGCAGAAGAAGCACCGGCUAACUCCGUGCCAGCAGCCGCGGUAAUACGGAGGGUGCAAGCGUUAAUCGGAAUUACUGGGCGUAAAGCGCACGCAGGCGGUCUGUCAAGUCGGAUGUGAAAUCCCCGGGCUCAACCUGGGAACUGCAUUCGAAACUGGCAGGCUAGAGUCUUGUAGAGGGGGGUAGAAUUCCAGGUGUAGCGGUGAAAUGCGUAGAGAUCUGGAGGAAUACCGGUGGCGAAGGCGGCCCCCUGGACAAAGACUGACGCUCAGGUGCGAAAGCGGGGGGAGCAAACAGG
This 429-nucleotide ribosomal RNA is filed under the name Chloroflexota bacterium. Its description in RNAcentral is "Chloroflexi bacterium partial 16S ribosomal RNA". It matches the Rfam family "Bacterial small subunit ribosomal RNA", at positions 355 to 776 of the family's 1533-position model. Lineage: Bacteria; Bacillati; Chloroflexota. The record is from RNAcentral.